GACGGAGGAUGCAAGUGUUAUCCGGAAUUAUUGGGCGUAAAGCGUCUGUAGGUUGCCUAACAAGUCUGUUGUUAAAGGUUAAAGCUUAACUUUAAAACUGCAGCAGAAACUGCUAGGCUUGAGUACAGUCGAAGUAGAGGGAAUUUCCAGUGUAGCGGUGAAAUGCGUAGAUAUUAGAAAGAACACCAGCGGCGAAAGCGCUCUACUGGACCAUUACUGACACUCAGAGACGAAAGCUAGGGGAGCGAAAGGGAUUAGAUACCCCUGUAGUCCUAGCCGUAAACGAUGGAUACUAGAUGUUGUGUUUUACAGUAUCGUAGCUAACGCGUUAAGUAUCCCGCCUGGGGAGUACGCUCGCAAGGGUG
Molecule: ribosomal RNA, 365 nt
Filed under: uncultured phototrophic eukaryote
Lineage: Eukaryota
Description: SSU rRNA
Rfam family: Bacterial small subunit ribosomal RNA
Source: RNAcentral